Molecule: long non-coding RNA, 854 nt
Organism: Gasterosteus aculeatus aculeatus (three-spined stickleback)
Lineage: Eukaryota; Metazoa; Chordata; Actinopteri; Perciformes; Gasterosteidae
Source: Ensembl
GCUAAUGCUGUAUUGGAUUCAGUGCCCCUUUGACUGCGCGUUUGUCCUCGUUCAGGCCGAUAAGCCUCCUGUGAGCAACAUCAGUAGCUGAGACGGUUGCAGAGAUCCGCCUGCCGCGUGUAAUGGAUUUCACGGACGCCGAUCGACCGCUUCGAGGGAAGAAAACGCUCGGUGCUGAAUGCUGCUGUAAUAAAGUUAUAACACUUACUUACACUCAUGCAAGAAACGUGUGAAGGAUGUUUCAGAGGCUGACUUAAUUAAGUAUUAGUUUAGUGUUUUUUACCCUCUUGGUGGCCUGUCUGCUGCAGACUGGUCAAAACGAGUCAUAUUUUUGAAAGGAAAAACCAAUAAGCACAAGGAAAGAACCCGUGAUGAAGCCUCCAUGUGUAAAGUCCCUGAACCAAUGAAAUUGCCUCAAGCGACGCGGCCGUGGCAGAAAAAAAGUGAUGAAUCCCCCCCCGCGGAGGGCUGCCCGGAGACGAGAUCUGCAACAAUGCAAGAAGAGGUAAAAAUGCGUCUCUUCGGGGCUUCGUGCUGCUUUCGCCACUGGCUGUUUGCUGUGGUUCAGUUCGACGCCAUUAAACAAAUCCACAGUAAUCACAAAUACGGAGCGCGGGACGCCGUUCUGUGCCGAGCCUCUAGUAAUGGACUAAAUGAGCCUCUGCGCUUGUUUGCGUGUUCCUAUCAGCUGGGGAUGUGAUUGUAAAUUAGAAGAACUUAGCUUGCCGCUCGCCCGCUGCUGACUUGGGAAUGGUAUUGGAUUACAGCGACUCUAAUAGUGUCCCCCUAAUGUCUCCCUUAGAAAGCCUCCUGGCCUCUCACCGACGGGGAACGUUUUCUUUUUAUACUUAAUC